RNAcentral lists this ribosomal RNA (467 nucleotides) under uncultured bacterium. RNAcentral describes it as "partial 16S ribosomal RNA". It matches the Rfam family "Bacterial small subunit ribosomal RNA", at positions 28 to 507 of the family's 1533-position model. The record is from RNAcentral.
GACGAACGCUGGCGGCGUGCUUAACACAUGCAAGUCGAACGGAAAGGCCCUGCUUUUGUGGGGUGCUCGAGUGGCGAACGGGUGAGUAACACGUGAGUAACCUGCCCUUGACUUUGGGAUAACUUCAGGAAACUGGGGCUAAUACCGGAUAGGAGCUCCUGCUGCAUGGUGGGGGUUGGAAGUUUCGGCGGUUGGGGAUGGACUCGCGGCUUAUCAGCUUGGUGGUGGGGUAGUGGCUUACCAAGGCUUUGACGGGUAGCCGGCCUGAGAGGGUGACCGGCCACAUUGGGACUGAGAUACGGCCCAGACUCCUACGGGAGGCAGCAGUGGGGAAUAUUGCACAAUGGGCGGAAGCCUGAUGCAGCAACGCCGCGUGCGGGAUGACGGCCUUCGGGUUGUAAACCGCUUUCGCCUGUGACGAAGCGUGAGUGACGGUAAUGGGUAAAGAAGCACCGGCUAACUACGUG